RNAcentral lists this ribosomal RNA (493 nucleotides) under uncultured bacterium. RNAcentral describes it as "partial 16S ribosomal RNA". It matches the Rfam family "Bacterial small subunit ribosomal RNA", at positions 30 to 523 of the family's 1533-position model. The record is from RNAcentral.
AUUGAACGCUGGCGGCAUGCCUUACACAUGCAAGUCGAACGGUAACAGGUUAAGCUGACGAGUGGCGAACGGGUGAGUAAUAUAUCGGAACGUGCCCAGUCGUGGGGGAUAACGUAGCGAAAGCUACGCUAAUACCGCAUACGAUCUACGGAUGAAAGCGGGGGAUCGCAAGACCUCGCGCGAUUGGAGCGGCCGAUAUCAGAUUAGCUAGUUGGUGAGGUAAAGGCUCACCAAGGCGACGAUCUGUAGCUGGUCUGAGAGGACGACCAGCCACACUGGAACUGAGACACGGUCCAGACUCCUACGGGAGGCAGCAGUGGGGAAUUUUGGACAAUGGGCGCAAGCCUGAUCCAGCAAUGCCGCGUGCAGGAUGAAGGCCUUCGGGUUGUAAACUGCUUUUGUACGGAACGAAACGGUGAGCUCUAAUACAGUUUGCUAAUGACGGUACCGUAAGAAUAAGCACCGGCUAACUACGUGCCAGCCGCCGCCGUAA